GCCUACGGGUGGCUGCAGUGGGGAAUAUUGGACAAUGGGCGAAAGCCUGAUCCAGCCAUGCCGCGUGUGUGAAGAAGGCCUUCGGGUUGUAAAGCACUUUCAGUGGGGAAGAAAGCCUUGGGGCUAAUACCCUCGAGGAAGGACAUCACCCACAGAAGAAGCACCGGCUAACUCCGUGCCAGCAGCCGCGGUAAUACGGAGGGUGCGAGCGUUAAUCGGAAUUACUGGGCGUAAAGCGCGCGUAGGCGGUCUGAUAAGCCGGUUGUGAAAGCCCCGGGCUCAACCUGGGAACGGCAUCCGGAACUGUCAGGCUAGAGUGCAGGAGAGGAAGGUAGAAUUCCCGGUGUAGCGGUGAAAUGCGUAGAGAUCGGGAGGAAUACCAGUGGCGAAGGCGGCCUUCUGGACUGACACUGACGCUGAGGUGCGAAAGCGUGGGUAGCAAACAGGAUUAGAUACCCUGGUAGUC
RNAcentral lists this ribosomal RNA (466 nucleotides) under Vreelandella stevensii. Its description in RNAcentral is "partial 16S ribosomal RNA". It matches the Rfam family "Bacterial small subunit ribosomal RNA", at positions 337 to 795 of the family's 1533-position model. Lineage: Bacteria; Pseudomonadati; Pseudomonadota; Gammaproteobacteria; Oceanospirillales; Halomonadaceae. The record is from RNAcentral.